GGGUUGUGAGGUUAAGCGACUAAGCGUACACGGUGGAUGCCCUGGCAGUCAGAGGCGAUGAAGGACGUGCUAAUCUGCGAUAAGCGUCGGUAAGGUGAUAUGAACCGUUAUAACCGGCGAUUUCCGAAUGGGGAAACCCAGUGUGAUUCGUCACACUAUCAUUAACUGAAUCCAUAGGUUAAUGAGGCGAACCGGGGGAACUGAAACAUCUAAGUACCCCGAGGAAAAGAAAUCAACCGAGAUUCCCCCAGUAGCGGCGAGCGAACGGGGAGCAGCCCAGAGCCUGAAUCAGUGUGUGUGUUAGUGGAAGCGUCUGGAAAGGCGUGCGAUACAGGGUGACAGCCCCGUACACAAAAAUGCACAUACUGUGAGCUCGAUGAGUAGGGCGGGACACGUGGUAUCCUGUCUGAAUAUGGGGGGACCAUCCUCCAAGGCUAAAUACUCCUGACUGACCGAUAGUGAACCAGUACCGUGAGGGAAAGGCGAAAAGAACCCCGGCGAGGGGAGUGAAAAAGAACCUGAAACCGUGUACGUACAAGCAGUGGGAGCACGCUUAGGCGUGUGACUGCGUACCUUUUGUAUAAUGGGUCAGCGACUUAUAUUCUGUAGCAAGGUUAACCGAAUAGGGGAGCCGAAGGGAAACCGAGUCUUAACUGGGCGUUAAGUUGCAGGGUAUAGACCCGAAACCCGGUGAUCUAGCCAUGGGCAGGUUGAAGGUUGGGUAACACUAACUGGAGGACCGAACCGACUAAUGUUGAAAAAUUAGCGGAUGACUUGUGGCUGGGGGUGAAAGGCCAAUCAAACCGGGAGAUAGCUGGUUCUCCCCGAAAGCUAUUUAGGUAGCGCCUCGUGAAUUCAUCUCCGGGGGUAGAGCACUGUUUCGGCAAGGGGGUCAUCCCGACUUACCAACCCGAUGCAAACUGCGAAUACCGGAGAAUGUUAUCACGGGAGACACACGGCGGGUGCUAACGUCCGUCGUGAAGAGGGAAACAACCCAGACCGCCAGCUAAGGUCCCAAAGUCAUGGUUAAGUGGGAAACGAUGUGGGAAGGCCCAGACAGCCAGGAUGUUGGCUUAGAAGCAGCCAUCAUUUAAAGAAAGCGUAAUAGCUCACUGGUCGAGUCGGCCUGCGCGGAAGAUGUAACGGGGCUAAACCAUGCACCGAAGCUGCGGCAGCGACGCUUAUGCGUUGUUGGGUAGGGGAGCGUUCUGUAAGCCUGUGAAGGUGUGCUGUGAGGUAUGCUGGAGGUAUCAGAAGUGCGAAUGCUGACAUAAGUAACGAUAAAGCGGGUGAAAAGCCCGCUCGCCGGAAGACCAAGGGUUCCUGUCCAACGUUAAUCGGGGCAGGGUGAGUCGACCCCUAA
Molecule: ribosomal RNA, 1363 nt
Filed under: Shigella flexneri
Lineage: Bacteria; Pseudomonadati; Pseudomonadota; Gammaproteobacteria; Enterobacterales; Enterobacteriaceae
Description: partial 23S ribosomal RNA
Rfam family: Bacterial large subunit ribosomal RNA
Source: RNAcentral